RNAcentral lists this ribosomal RNA (785 nucleotides) under uncultured Glomus. Its description in RNAcentral is "SSU rRNA". It matches the Rfam family "Eukaryotic small subunit ribosomal RNA", at positions 325 to 1111 of the family's 1831-position model. Lineage: Eukaryota; Fungi; Glomeromycota; Glomeromycetes; Glomerales; Glomeraceae. The record is from RNAcentral.
AUGGUNGGANAGAGGCCUACCAUGGUGGUAACGGGUAACGGGGUGUUAGGGCACGACACCGGAGAGGGAGCCUGAGAAACGGCUACCACAUCCAAGGAAGGCAGCAGGCGCGCAAAUUACCCAAUCCCGACACGGGGAGGUAGUGACAAUAAAUAACAAUACGGGGUUCUUUGAAUCUUGUAAUUGGAAUGAGUACAAUUUAAAUCUCUUAACGAGGAACAAUUGGAGGGCAAGUCUGGUGCCAGCAGCCGCGGUAAUUCCAGCUCCAAUAGCGUAUAUUAAAGUUGUUGCAGUUAAAAAGCUCGUAGUUGAAUUUCGGGAUCAAUACGUCGGUCGUGCUUUNGGGUACGUACCGGCGUCAUUGGUUUCUCCUUUCUGACGAACCAUGAUGUCAUUAAUUUGGUGUUAUGGGGAGUUAGGACUGUUACUUUGAAAAAAUUAGAGUGUUUAAAGCAGGCAUUAGCUUGAAUACAUUAGCAUGGAAUAAUGAAAUAGGACGUUCGAUCCUAUUUUGUUGGUUUCUAGGAUCAACGUAAUGAUUAAUAGGGAUAGUUGGGGGCAUUAGUAUUCAAUUGUCAGAGGUGAAAUUCUUGGAUUUAUUGAAGACUAACUACUGCGAAAGCAUUUGCCAAGGAUGGUUUCAUUAAUCAAGAACGAAAGUUAGGGGAUCGAAGACGAUCAGAUACCGUCGUAGUCUUAACCAUAAACUAUGCCGACUAGGGAUCGGAUGAUGUUAAUUUUUUAAUGACUCAUUCGGCGCCUUACGGGAAACCAAAGUGUUUGGG